UUCAUUCAUUGUAUCAAUAGUCAAAUUAGUACUACACACUAUUAUUGUGGAAUGUUGACGGUAAAAGGAGUGAGUCAGCUGAAGAUCCAUGCAUGCUUUAAUUUGCACCCAACUCUUUACUAUAUUUGAUUCCACAUGUAAGAAAAGAGUUUUGUUUCUUUUAAGCUUGUAUCGCUAAAUUAAUCACAUUUCUCAUCAUCAUCAUCAUCAUCUAGUAGUAUUAUAUCAACUUGUUAUAUGAACUAAUGCAUUAAGGAAUGUUGUAUGCGGACCUCUCUAUUGCUAAUCACAAAGUAAAAGCUUAAUUUCCUCUAAUGAAAUACUGGUUGGCACAUUUUCCUGAUUAUUUGUUACAUUAUGUUUACUUUACUCUCCAUGUUUGUAUCCUCUUUACUUACAGAGGGUUUUCAUCCACAAAUUCUUGCAUUGGUCCACAGCUCUAUGUUCCACACUCUUGUAUUUUCCAUUUAUAAGAACCUGAAAAAUAAAAUUUAAAAUCAGUUCCAGAAAGGAAAAAAUAAAAUAAAUCAAUCAUUCGCUAUGCACAGACAAUAUAAAGUUUUAUAAAUAAGUUCAAUCAUAUUUCACCACAAUUUCAUGUCAUAAUAUUUCCACAAAUAUAUCUGUGUCAU
Molecule: long non-coding RNA, 632 nt
Filed under: Trifolium pratense (red clover)
Lineage: Eukaryota; Viridiplantae; Streptophyta; Magnoliopsida; Fabales; Fabaceae
Description: long non-coding RNA (TPRA_LNC005680)
Source: RNAcentral